UACGGAGGGGGCUAGCGUUGUUCGGAAUUACUGGGCGUAAAGCGCGCGUAGGCGGCUUUGUAAGUUAGAGGUGAAAGCCCGGAGCUCAACUCUGGAAUUGCCUUUUAGACUGCAUCGCUUGAAUCAUGGAGAGGUCAGUGGAAUUCCGAGUGUAGAGGUGAAAUUCGUAGAUAUUCGGAAGAACACCAGUGGCGAAGGCGACUCACUGGACAUGUAUUGACGCUGAGGUGCGAAAGCGUGGGGAGCAAACAGG
Molecule: ribosomal RNA, 253 nt
Filed under: uncultured bacterium
Lineage: Bacteria
Description: partial 16S ribosomal RNA
Rfam family: Bacterial small subunit ribosomal RNA
Source: RNAcentral